This 548-nucleotide ribosomal RNA is filed under the name uncultured bacterium. RNAcentral's name for it is "bacterial SSU rRNA". It matches the Rfam family "Bacterial small subunit ribosomal RNA", at positions 773 to 1324 of the family's 1533-position model. The record is from RNAcentral.
ACGGAAUAGAUACCCGGGUAGUCCACGCCCUAAACGAUGUCUACUAGUUGUCGGGGAUUCAUUUCCUUGGUAAACGCAGCUAAACGCGUGAAAGUAGACCGCCUGGGGAGUACGGCCGCAAGGUUAAAACUCAAAGGAAUUGACGGGGACCCGCACAAGCGGUGGAUGAUGUGGAUUAAUUCGAUGCAACGCGAAAAACCUUACCUACGCUUGACAUGCCAGGAACUUUCCAGAGAUGGAUUGGUGCCCGAAAGGGAACCUGGACACAGGUGCUGCAUGGCUGUCGUCAGCUCGUGUAGUGAGAUGUUGGGUUAAGUCCCGCAACGAGCGCAACCCUUAUCCUUAGUUGCUACGCAAGGGCACUCUAGGGAGACUGCCGGUGACAAACCGGAGGAAGGUGGGGAUGACGUCAAGUCCUCAUGGCCCUUAUGUGUAGGGCUUCACACGUCAUACAAUGGUCGGUACAGAGGGUCGCCAACCCGCGAGGGGAGCCAAUCCCAGAAAACCGAUCGUAGUCCGGAUUGCAGUCUGCAACUCGACUGCAUGAA